CUGCAUAUAAGGAAAUAAAUUACUACCAAUAGUACGUUCAAGUCAUGACCUUUUGGGUGAGCAUGUGAUGGGCUAAGACCCAAGAAGAUAUUAUUGGGUCAGUGAUUUGAGGCCUUAUUUUGAUGGAUUUGAUUCGAUUCGAACUUGGAAUUUGACCCGAGAUUUGUUCUAAACCCGGGUUGUUUCAUAUGGUAUCAGAGCCGACUCUCGAAAGCUCGGGUCAGGUCAUCCAAUCGGGUUGCCGAAGGCGGGGACACGAAGGCUGGUGGUAUUAUCCCACAAUGGAGAGAUGGAGGUCCGGAGGUGGGGACACGAAGUCAGCCGGUAUUAUCCCACAAUGGAGAGAUGGAGGUCCGGAGGUGGGGACACGAAGUCAGCCGGUAUUAUCCCACAAUGGCUAGAGAGGCAAAGAUCUGUGGACCGUGAACCACGUGCGUGAUCGGUUCUGACGGGGACGUCAAAAAUUUAAGUGGGGGAGUUUGUAAUACCCCAGUCUGACAUCGAAAGAUAAGGAAAAAAUUUGUCUGCAUAUUAGGAAACAAGUUACUACCAAUAGUACCUUCAAGUCGUGACCUUUUGGGUGAGUCUGUG
This 591-nucleotide long non-coding RNA is filed under the name Panax ginseng (ginseng). RNAcentral describes it as "long non-coding RNA (PGIN_LNC003202)". The record is from RNAcentral. Lineage: Eukaryota; Viridiplantae; Streptophyta; Magnoliopsida; Apiales; Araliaceae.